This 497-nucleotide ribosomal RNA is filed under the name uncultured bacterium. Its description in RNAcentral is "partial 16S ribosomal RNA". It matches the Rfam family "Bacterial small subunit ribosomal RNA", at positions 28 to 507 of the family's 1533-position model. The record is from RNAcentral.
GAUGAACGCUGGCGGCGUGCCUAAUACAUGCAAGUCGAGCGAACAGACGAGGAGCUUGCUCCUCUGACGUUAGCGGCGGACGGGUGAGUAACACGUGGAUAACCUACCUAUAAGACUGGGAUAACUUCGGGAAACCGGAGCUAAUACCGGAUAAUAUAUUGAACUGCAUGGUUCAAUAGUGAAAGACGGUUUUGCUGUCACUUAUAGAUGGAUCCGCGCCGCAUUAGCUAGUUGGUAAGGUAACGGCUUACCAAGGCAACGAUGCGUAGCCGACCUGAGAGGGUGAUCGGCCACACUGGAACUGAGACACGGUCCAGACUCCUACGGGAGGCAGCAGUAGGGAAUCUUCCGCAAUGGGCGAAAGCUUGACGGAGCAACGCCGCGUGAGUGAUGAAGGUCUUCGGAUCGUAAAACUCUGUUAUUAGGGAAGAACAAAUGUGUAAGUAACUAUGCACGUCUUGACGGUACCUAAUCAGAAAGCCACGGCUAACUACGUG